GCAGAGGAUCUGGAGACCCAAACUACCACCCUUGCUUCUCACGCUUAAUUCACCAUCAUCGCUGAAAUUCACCAUCGCCGCCAACGCUAAUCGGAAGUCAAGAUCUUGCCGUCUUUUUCAUCACAAGACAUGAUUCAUGAGUCACCAUCGCCGCCAACGCUAAUCGGAAGUCAAGAUCUUGCCGUCUUUUUCAUCACAAGACAUGAUUCAUGAGUCACUGCCCUUGCUUCUCACAGUCUUCAAAAUUUUUGUCAUUGCACGAGCUCAAUCAUCGCCGUCAUUUGUAAACAAAUUCUUAAAAAAAGAAGAAGGAAUGAAAAAUUAGUCUUUUAGAGAGAUAAAAUACUCAUUUCUAUAAACAUUAGAGAAAAUACAUGUUUUCACAAUACCCUAAACAAAAUUGUGGUUUGAUCCACGUUUUAUAUGAGAUAGCAAUAUCCAACCAUGAAAUAACAUUGUUGUAGUAUUCAAUAUUGAGAGAAUGAUAUCCAAAAAAGAAAUAGAAUUUCAAGUCUCUCUUGGUGUAAGUGUUUGGACUAGCCUGGUCACAAAGGAUGAGCUCUCUCUCUCUAGGAUUAUUAAGAGAGAGAAAACUCAAUCCUUGUUCCACCAUUCGGUAUGCUUAUCGGCUUUCGUUGUCCCGAUUAGAACCGACUUUGUUUUUGGUGUGGUCUGGCUCUGUUUCCGGUGUGGUCCGGCUCAUGUUACGGCUAUUU
Molecule: long non-coding RNA, 716 nt
Organism: Arabidopsis thaliana (thale cress)
Lineage: Eukaryota; Viridiplantae; Streptophyta; Magnoliopsida; Brassicales; Brassicaceae
Product: other RNA
Exons: 1
Source: RefSeq